This is a long non-coding RNA of Diospyros lotus (date-plum), 646 nucleotides long. RefSeq lists it as uncharacterized. The record is from RefSeq and is a predicted model, not a curated record. The transcript is spliced from 2 exons. NCBI's taxonomy places the organism in Eukaryota, Viridiplantae, Streptophyta, Magnoliopsida, Ericales, Ebenaceae.
GUUUUCUAUUAGGGCACAACAAGACUUUCCCAUUGCCAUGUUCUAUAUGAUGAGGUUGGUUUUUCAACAGAUGAUCUCCAGGAAUUAGUUCAUUUGCUGUCCCGUGUGUAAGUGCACAUUGUACAGGCAUAAAUGAGUAGCCUCCUUUCAGUUGGUUGUGUGGGCAGAGUUUUAAACACUGUAGAUACUUCUAAAUAUUGUUUUUAUUUUGUUUUAGGUAUCAAAGAAGCACCACUGCAAUUUCUGUAGUUGCUCCAUUAUGCGAUGCCCACUUGGCAGCAACCCAGGUGGGACAAUUUAUGAAGUUUGACAAAGGGUUUGAGACAUUGUCGAGCAUUGGCGGCACAUCUACUGGGCCUGUCCCAAUUUUGCAGUUGCCCUGAUUACAAGAGAAUGUGUUGAGUUCCAUGUUCUUUUGUUAGAUGGCCCUAUGGUUGUGUAUAUUGGCUUGGUCUUUUGGUUAUGUGAAGAGCACUGAAUUAGAAAAUUCGGAUCCUCCUAUGGUAGUUGAAUGUAAUUUAACUUAUUUGUGGCCUUUUUGGCGUCUUGUUCUGUUUGGUCGACAGUGGUUAGGUUGCUUGGUCAUAUACCUUCGAUAUUUGCCAUAAUUUUAUGAUCAGAGAUUGCUAUUGAUACUUCUUGUGCC